CAGUAGUCAGGUUAAAGCAGGGUAAUUCCAGCAUUAUUUCCUACCGAUGAAUAAUUAACACAAUGUUUUAUUUGCCUGCCAAUGCUGGGCGUCGGAAAUGCUUGUUAAUUGUGUUUCCUCUGACUCGACUCUCAACAACUCUUUCGGUUUUAAUUAAUAGGAAAUUAAUUUUGCAGUGCUCUGUUUUGACAUGGUUAAUUUACAUGGGCUCGGGACCAAAACAUCAAAGAAGCACCUUCGCAAGUGCACAGCAACACCUACAACUUCAUAGUGAUACCCUUUCUUCAUUGACAGAGCUGUCAUUGUGAGUUCAGAGCGAGAUGUUCCGAAUCUGGCCUUUUUUCUUGUUCCUCUGAAGUUCUUUCAUCUGUACUGGGUUACACAAACAUGCGAGUUUAUGUGAGUCUGUGACGGUGAAAUAAGCAAGUGCUUUAGGAGCUUUAUCUUCUAGUGCAACUUGACUCAAACGGCAGAAAUAAAACACAUCAACACAA
This is a long non-coding RNA of Sinocyclocheilus anshuiensis, 494 nucleotides long. RefSeq lists it as uncharacterized. The transcript is spliced from 3 exons. Lineage: Eukaryota; Metazoa; Chordata; Actinopteri; Cypriniformes; Cyprinidae. The record is from RefSeq and is a predicted model, not a curated record.